GACGAACGCUGGCGGCGUGCCUAAUACAUGCAAGUAGAACGCUGAAGGAGGAGCUUGCUCUUCUGGAUGAGUUGCGAACGGGUGAGUAACGCGUAGGUAACCUGCCUGGUAGCGGGGGAUAACUAUUGGAAACGAUAGCUAAUACCGCAUAAGAGUAGAUGUUGCAUGACAUUUGCUUAAAAGGUGCAAUUGCAUCACUACCAGAUGGACCUGCGUUGUAUUAGCUAGUUGGUGGGGUAACGGCUCACCAAGGCGACGAUACAUAGCCGACCUGGGAGGGUGAUCGGCCACACUGGGACUGAGACACGGCCCAGACUCCUACGGGAGGCAGCAGUAGGGAAUCUUCGGCAAUAGACGGAAGUCUGACCGAGCAACGCCGCGUGAGUGAAGAAGGUUUUCGGAUCGUAAAGCUCUGUUGUAAGAGAAGAACGAGUGUGAGAGUGGAAAGUUCACACUGUGACGGUAUCUUACCAGAAAGGGACGGCUAACUACGUG
Molecule: ribosomal RNA, 495 nt
Filed under: uncultured bacterium
Lineage: Bacteria
Description: partial 16S ribosomal RNA
Rfam family: Bacterial small subunit ribosomal RNA
Source: RNAcentral